RNAcentral lists this ribosomal RNA (499 nucleotides) under uncultured bacterium. Its description in RNAcentral is "bacterial SSU rRNA". It matches the Rfam family "Bacterial small subunit ribosomal RNA", at positions 30 to 523 of the family's 1533-position model. The record is from RNAcentral.
AUUAAACGCUGGCGGCAUGCCUUACACAUGCAAGUCGAACGGCAGCACGGGGGCAACCUUGGUGGCGAGUGGCGAACGGGUGAGUAAAGCAUCGGAACGUGCCCUGGAGUGGGGGAUAACGUAGCGAAAGUUACGCUAAUACCGCAUAUUCUGUGAGCAGGAAAGCAGGGGAUCGCAAGACCUUGCGCUCUGGGAGCGGCCGAUGUCGGAUUAGCUAGUUGGUGGGUAAAGGCCUACCAAGGCGACGAUCCGUAGCGGGUCUGAGAGGAUGAUCCGCCACACUGGGACUGAGACACGGCCCAGACUCCUACGGGAGGCAGCAGUGGAGAAUUUUGGACAAUGGGCGAAAGCCUGAUCCAGCCAUGCCGCGUGUCUGAAGAAGGCCUUCGGGUUGUAAAGGACUUUGUCAGGGAGGCAAAACUUAGAGGUUAAUAACCUUUGAGGUUGAGAGUACCUGAAGAAUAAGCACCGGCUAACUACGUGCCAGCAGCCGCGGUAA